RNAcentral lists this ribosomal RNA (410 nucleotides) under uncultured microorganism. Its description in RNAcentral is "bacterial SSU rRNA". It matches the Rfam family "Bacterial small subunit ribosomal RNA", at positions 509 to 917 of the family's 1533-position model. The record is from RNAcentral.
CAGCCGCCGCGGUAAUACGUAGGGUGCGAGCGUUAAUCGGAUUUACUGGGCGUAAAGCGUGCGCAGGCGGCCCGUUAAGACAGGUGUGAAAUCCCUGGGCUCAACCUAGGAAUUGCGCUUGUGACUGGCGGGCUCGAGUACGGUAGAGGGGGGUGGAAUUCCUGGUGUAGCAGUGAAAUGCGUAGGAAUCAGGAGGAACACCGAUGGCGAAGGCAGCCCCCUGGGCCUGUACUGACGCUCAUGCACGAAAGCGUGGGGAGCAAACAGGAUUAGAUACCCGGGUAGUCCACGCCCUAAACGAUGGGUACUAGCCGUUUGGUGCGCGAUAGCGCUGAGUGGCGAAGCUAACGCGUGAAGUACCCCGCCUGGGGAGUACGGCCGCAAGGUUGAAACUUAAAGGAAUUGGCGGG